AGCGAACGCUGGCGGCAGGCUUAACACAUGCAAGUCGAGCGGGCGUAGCAAUACGUCAGCGGCAGACGGGUGAGUAACGCGUGGGAACGUACCUUUUGGUUCGGAACAACACAGGGAAACUUGUGCUAAUACCGGAUAAGCCCUUACGGGGAAAGAUUUAUCGCCGAAAGAUCGGCCCGCGUCUGAUUAGCUAGUUGGUGAGGUAAUGGCUCACCAAGGCGACGAUCAGUAGCUGGUCUGAGAGGAUGAUCAGCCACAUUGGGACUGAGACACGGCCCAAACUCCUACGGGAGGCAGCAGUGGGGAAUAUUGGACAAUGGGGGCAACCCUGAUCCAGCCAUGCCGCGUGAGUGAUGAAGGCCCUAGGGUUGUAAAGCUCUUUUGUGCGGGAAGAUAAUGACGGUACCGCAAGAAUAAGCCCCGGCUAACUUCGUGCCAGCAGCCGCGGUAAGUCUCGCGUGA
This 462-nucleotide ribosomal RNA is filed under the name uncultured bacterium. RNAcentral describes it as "bacterial SSU rRNA". It matches the Rfam family "Bacterial small subunit ribosomal RNA", at positions 29 to 532 of the family's 1533-position model. The record is from RNAcentral.